GUUCUGUAAUUUUAAGAAGAUUUAUAUUAAUAUAAAUUGGAAAUAUCAGAAGUGAGAAUGUUGAUAUGAGUAACGAUAAACAGUGUGAAAAACAUUGUCGCUUUAAGUUCAAGGUUUUUAAGAAAAAGAUAAUCUUUCUUAGAAAAUAUUUAUACGGUCCCUAAGAAAAAAACGAAAGGUUUAUUUUAAUGGGUAAUUUAUUAUUAAAGUGACGGAGUAUGCAUAUUAUUUAUAUUUUAAGGUAAAAAUAUAAGUUAUUUAAUAUUUCCAGGAAAUAGCUUUAAAAAAAAAUCAAACCGUACCGAAAACCGACUCAGGUGAACAAAUUUAGUAAAUUAAAGCGUUUGAACGAAUUGUAUUGAAGGAACUCGGCAAAAUGACUCCGUAACUUCGGAAUAAGGAGUAGUUUUUAAAGAGCAAUCUUUAAAAACUGUCACAAAAUUGAGGACAGCGACUGCUUAACAAAAGCACAGGUCUCUGCUAAUUCGCAAGAAGAUGUAUAGAGACUGACGCCUGCCCGGUGCUGCAAGGCUAAAAUAAGAAAUU
RNAcentral lists this ribosomal RNA (546 nucleotides) under Aulacoseira subarctica. RNAcentral's name for it is "partial Bacterial large subunit ribosomal RNA". It matches the Rfam family "Bacterial large subunit ribosomal RNA", at positions 1238 to 1891 of the family's 2925-position model. The record is from RNAcentral. Lineage: Eukaryota; Bacillariophyta; Melosirophyceae; Melosirales; Aulacoseiraceae.